Molecule: ribosomal RNA, 216 nt
Filed under: Glomeromycotina sp.
Lineage: Eukaryota; Fungi; Glomeromycota
Description: partial small subunit ribosomal RNA
Rfam family: Eukaryotic small subunit ribosomal RNA (bases 40-216)
Source: RNAcentral
GGGUCAGGAGGUUGGUCGUGCCACCGGUACGUACUGGUCUCACUGAUUCCUCCUUCCUGAAGAACCGUAAUGCCAUUAAUUUGGUGUUGCGGGGAAACAGGACUGUUACUUUGAAAAAAUUAGAGUGUUUAAAGCAAGCUGACGCUUGAAUACAUUAGCAUGGAAUAAUGAAAUAGGACGAUCGAUCCUAUUUUGUUGGUUUCUAGGAUUGACGUA